Molecule: ribosomal RNA, 754 nt
Filed under: uncultured archaeon
Lineage: Archaea
Description: bacterial SSU rRNA
Rfam family: Archaeal small subunit ribosomal RNA
Source: RNAcentral
AGUCAACAUGCCCAGGGGACGUGGAUAACCUCGGGAAACUGAGGAUAAACCGCGAUAGGUCACUGCUUCUGGAAUGGGCAAUGACCCAAACCUAUAUGGCCCCUGGAUUGGACUGCGGCCGAUCAGGCUGUUGGUGAGGUAAUGGCCCACCAAACCUGUAACCGGUACGGGCUCUGAGAGGAGGAGCCCGGAGAUGGGCACUGAGACAAGGGCCCAGGCCCUAUGGGGCGCAGCAGGCGCGAAACCUCUGCAAUAGGCGAAAGCUUGACAGGGUUACUCUGAGUGAUUUCCGUUAAGGAGAUCUUUUGGCACCUCUAAAAAUGGUGCAGAAUAAGGGGUGGGCAAGUCUGGUGUCAGCCGCCGCGGUAAUACCAGCACCCCGAGUGGUCGGGACGUUUAUUGGGCCUAAAGCAUCCGUAGCCGGUUCUACAAGUCUUCCGUUAAAUCCACCUGCUUAACAGAUGGGCUGCGGAAGACACUAUGGAGCUAGGAGGCGGGAGAGGCAAGCGGUACUCGAUGGGUAGGGGUAAAAUCCGUUGAUCCAUUGAAGACCACCAGUGGCGAAGGCGGCUUGCCAGAACGCGCUCGACGGUGAGGGAUGAAAGCUGGGGGAGCAAACCGGAUUAGAUACCCGGGUAGUCCCAGCUGUAAACGAUGCAGACUCGGUGAUGAGUUGGCUUUAUGCCAACUCAGUGCCGCAGGGAAGCCGUUAAGUUUGCCGCCUGGGGAGUACGGUCGCAAGACUGAAACUUAA